AUGGACACUGUGAUCUCACAAGCACAAACAACACUCGGAGGACUUUCCCUUCAGCGUACUAUGUUUGGGGGAUUAAAUUCAAAGCUGACCAAUGUUAGCAGCCGCCUCCCAACGGUAAAUAACAUUCUCUCAGCAAUAAAAAGGAGAAAAUCUAUGGAUACCAUCAUCCUUUCCCUUGUUGCGUCUGUGUGCACAUUUCUCAUUCUAAUUUACUGGUUGACCAAGUAGGUAGGUAAUGUGGUAUCUCUGAUGGAGUUUUGCUUCCUUAUUCUUUAUUUAUAUAUUGUAAGUGAGAAUACUAGUUUUCCCUUAGUGUUUUUGUUCGAUGAAAUUUUGAUAUACUUGUUAUAUAUUUUCUCUAAAUGGUGCGUGUGUGUGUGUCUGUGUGAGGAAAGGAAAGCAAGAGAGGUAUAAAUGAGUCAUCAUAAUCUGUUCAUAUGGAUUGUAUGAGGCUGUGAAAAGCGGUUGUGAGGGAUUAAUGUUGUGGCUUAGGUUUAGUUGGUUCUUAGAGAUUUAGGAGCUUUUUCAGAGGGUGAGAGGUUUUCCGGGAGGUGAAUUAAUUCUUGCUGAAAAAACGUCUGUUUUGAGAGAAUGGGGUGAAGGUUUUUGCGGUUGUUUUGGGUUGGCUUGGGUCAUUAUGUUGUGUUGUUGAGGUCUUGUUGGUAGUCUUUCCUGUGUUUCCAAGUAGUUUGGUGGGCCUGAGUAUGUUGAUCUUUGUUUUGUAAGGCUGUGGUUUUGCAAGGGGCUUUAUUCUUUGUAUGAGGUGACAUCUUGUCAUUAGAAUUUAUAUUUUCUCUGUAUUUUUCUUUUUUGUUGAUUUCUUAUUAUAAAAAAGGCCAAGUGUGAACCACUGCUACUAUUCUCCUAUA
Nelumbo nucifera (sacred lotus) is the source of this 869-nucleotide non-coding RNA. The record is from RefSeq and is a predicted model, not a curated record. NCBI's taxonomy places the organism in Eukaryota, Viridiplantae, Streptophyta, Magnoliopsida, Proteales, Nelumbonaceae.